AGUGAACGCUGGCGGUAGGCCUAACACAUGCAAGUCGAACGGCAGCACAGUAAGAGCUUGCUCUUACGGGUGGCGAGUGGCGGACGGGUGAGGAAUACAUCGGAAUCUACUUUUUCGUGGGGGAUAACGUAGGGAAACUUACGCUAAUACCGCAUACGACCUACGGGCGAAAGCAGGGGAUCUUCGGACCUUGCGCGAUUGAAUGAGCCGAUGUCGGAUUAGCUAGUUGGCGGGGUAAAGGCCCACCAAGGCGACGAUCCGUAGCUGGUCUGAGAGGAUGAUCAGCCACACUGGAACUGAGACACGGUCCAGGCUCCUACGGGAGGCAGCAGUGGGGAAUAUUGGACAAUGGGCGCAAGCCUGAUCCAGCCAUACCGCGUGGGUGAAGAAGGCCUUCGGGUUGUAAAGCCCUUUUGUUGGGAAAGAAAAGCAGCAGGUUAAUACCCCGCUGUUCUGACGGUACCCAAAGAAUAAGCACCGGCUAACUUCGUG
This 492-nucleotide ribosomal RNA is filed under the name uncultured bacterium. RNAcentral describes it as "partial 16S ribosomal RNA". It matches the Rfam family "Bacterial small subunit ribosomal RNA", at positions 29 to 507 of the family's 1533-position model. The record is from RNAcentral.